UGGUACAAAUGGCAUCCUUUUCUAAUGC
RNAcentral lists this non-coding RNA (28 nucleotides) under Rattus norvegicus (Norway rat). Lineage: Eukaryota; Metazoa; Chordata; Mammalia; Rodentia; Muridae. The record is from RNAcentral.